This 82-nucleotide transfer RNA is filed under the name Armillaria ostoyae. It matches the Rfam family "tRNA". From Rfam's summary of the family: Transfer RNA (tRNA) molecules are approximately 80 nucleotides in length. The record is from RNAcentral. Lineage: Eukaryota; Fungi; Basidiomycota; Agaricomycetes; Agaricales; Physalacriaceae.
GCUGGGAUGGCCGAGUCGUUAAGGCGAGUGAUUUGAAAUCACUUGGUGUUUCACCGCGUAGGUUCAAAUCCUGCUCCCAGCG